CAGCAGCCACGGUAAUACGUAGGGUGCGAGCGUUGUCCGGAAUUAUUGGGCGUAAAGGGCUCGCAGGCGGUUUCUUAAGUCUGAUGUGAAAGCCCCCGGCUCAACCGGGGAGGGUCAUUGGAAACUGGGAAACUUGAGUGCAGAAGAGGAGAGUGGAAUUCCACGUGUAGCGGUGAAAUGCGUAGAGAUGUGGAGGAACACCAGUGGCGAAGGCGACUCUCUGGCCUGUAACUGACGCUGAGGAGCGAAAGCGUGGGGAGCGAACAGGAUUAGAUACCCCCGUAGUCCCUGUCUCUUAUAC
Molecule: ribosomal RNA, 301 nt
Filed under: uncultured bacterium
Lineage: Bacteria
Description: partial 16S ribosomal RNA
Rfam family: Bacterial small subunit ribosomal RNA
Source: RNAcentral